This 627-nucleotide ribosomal RNA is filed under the name Pleroma urvilleanum (princess flower). RNAcentral describes it as "eukaryotic LSU rRNA". The stretch from base 250 to 405 matches the Rfam family "5.8S ribosomal RNA". Lineage: Eukaryota; Viridiplantae; Streptophyta; Magnoliopsida; Myrtales; Melastomataceae. The record is from RNAcentral.
UCGAAAUCGAACGGAAGAACGACCCGCGAACCGUCUUUGCGUAACGAACCGAGCUCGCGAGCAGCAAACGCUCGCGCGUCUCGUGUCGCGUCGGCGCGGUCCUCGAAAGGGCCACGCCGCGCCGACAAACUAACAAUGUCAGCACGGAUCGUGCCAAGGAGCUGUACAUGCGAGAGUCGCCGUCCCACGCCCCCGGUCCCCCUCGACUGGGGGCGGGUGACAUGCGCGAUCUCCGCUCUUAGUCUUAAUGACUCUCGGCAACGGAUAUCUCGGCUCUUGCAUCGAUGAAGAACGUAGCGAAAUGCGAUACUUGGUGUGAAUUGCAGAAUCCCGCGAACCAUCAAUUCUUUGAACGCAAGUUGCGCCCGAAGCCAUCCGGCCGAGGGCACGCCUGCCUGGGUGUCGUGAAUCCCCUUGCCCCCGGGCACCCGCACGAGCAUCGUCGCGGAUAUGCCCGGGCGCAGAAUAUGGUCUCCCGUCGGAUCGGCGUGCGCUGCACGUCGUGGGGCGGUUGGCCGAAAAUCGAGCAUUGCGACGUCGGGCUCCACGGCGUUCGGUGGAUCGAACGCGAUUGGCUGCGCCGUGGUCCCGUCAUGCCGCGGGCUCCGGACUACGACGAUUCCCGUG